AUUGAACGCUGGCGGCAGGCCUAACACAUGCAAGUCGAACGGUAACAGGAAGCAGCUUGCUGCUUCGCUGACGAGUGGCGGACGGGUGAGUAAUGUCUGGGAAACUGCCUGAUGGAGGGGGAUAACUACUGGAAACGGUAGCUAAUACCGCAUAACGUCGCAAGACCAAAGAGGGGGACCUUCGGGCCUCUUGCCAUCGGAUGUGCCCAGAUGGGAUUAGCUAGUAGGUGGGGUGAUGGCUCACCUAGGCGACGAUCCCUAGCUGGUCUGAGGGGAUGACCAGCCACCCUGGAAAUGAGACACGGUCCAGACUCCUGCGGGAGGCAGCAGUGGGGAAGAUUGCACAAUGGGCGCAAGCCUGAUGCAGCCAUGCCGCGUGUAUGAAGAAGGCCUUCGGGUUGUAAAGUACUUUCAGCGGGGAGGAAGGGAGUAAAGUUAAUACCUUUGCUCAUUGACGUUACCCGCAGAAGAAGCACCGGCUAACUCCGUGCCAGCCGCCGCAGUAA
This 506-nucleotide ribosomal RNA is filed under the name uncultured bacterium. RNAcentral describes it as "partial 16S ribosomal RNA". It matches the Rfam family "Bacterial small subunit ribosomal RNA", at positions 30 to 523 of the family's 1533-position model. The record is from RNAcentral.